GUCGCCUUAAGGCUAUGUGUUAUAUAGCUUUUCCGCGAGCCUACCCUUGCCUUCGUAAUGAUGGGGUCACAGGUUCGAGUCCUGUAAGCGGCA
Molecule: transfer RNA, 93 nt
Filed under: Sphingomonas sp.
Lineage: Bacteria; Pseudomonadati; Pseudomonadota; Alphaproteobacteria; Sphingomonadales; Sphingomonadaceae
Description: tRNA-OTHER
Source: RNAcentral